RNAcentral lists this ribosomal RNA (788 nucleotides) under Cadophora sp. Its description in RNAcentral is "partial large subunit ribosomal RNA". It matches the Rfam family "Eukaryotic large subunit ribosomal RNA", at positions 98 to 903 of the family's 3401-position model. The record is from RNAcentral. Lineage: Eukaryota; Fungi; Ascomycota; Leotiomycetes; Helotiales; Ploettnerulaceae.
GCGGUAACAGCUCAAAUUUGAAAGCUAGCUCUUUUAGGGUUCGCAUUGUAAUUUGUAGAAGAUGCUUCGGGUGUGGCCCCGGUCUAAGUUCCUUGGAACAGGACGUCAUAGAGGGUGAGAAUCCCGUAUGUGACUGGGUGCUUUCGCUCAUGUGAAGCUCUUUCGACGAGUCGAGUUGUUUGGGAAUGCAGCUCAAAAUGGGUGGUAAAUUUCAUCUAAAGCUAAAUAUUGGCCAGAGACCGAUAGCGCACAAGUAGAGUGAUCGAAAGAUGAAAAGCACUUUGGAAAGAGAGUUAAACAGUACGUGAAAUUGUUGAAAGGGAAGCGCUUGCAACCAGACUUGCGCGCUGAUGAUCAUCCGGGCUUCUGCCCGGUGCACUCGUCUGCGCUCAGGCCAGCAUCGGUUUCGGUGGUGGGAUAAAGGCCUUGGGAAUGUAGCUUCUUUCGGGGAGUGUUAUAGCCCUCGGUGCAAUGCCGCCUACCGGGACCGAGGACCGCGCUUCGGCUAGGAUGCUGGCGUAAUGGUUGUAAGCGACCCGUCUUGAAACACGGACCAAGGAGUCUAACAUCUAUGCGAGUGUUUGGGUGUCAAACCCAUACGCGUAAUGAAAGUGAACGGAGGUGAGAACCCUUAAGGGUGCAUCAUCGACCGAUCCUGAUGUCUUCGGAUGGAUUUGAGUAAGAGCAUAGCUGUUGGGACCCGAAAGAUGGUGAACUAUGCGUGAAUAGGGUGAAGCCAGAGGAAACUCUGGUGGAGGCUCGCAGCGGUUCUGACGUGCAAAUCGAUC